UACGUAGGGUGCGAGCGUUAAUCGGAAUUACUGGGCGUAAAGCGUGCGCAGGCGGUCCGCAAAGUCUGAUGUGAAAACUCGGGGCUUAACUCCGGGCCUGCAGUGGGUACGGGCAGACUAGAGUGCGGUAGGGGAGACUGGAAUUCCUGGUGUAGCGGUGAGAUGCGCAGAUAUCAGGAGGAACACCGGUGGCGAAGGCGGGUCUCUGGGCCGUAACUGACGCUGAGGAGCGAAAGCGUGGGGAGCGAACAGG
Molecule: ribosomal RNA, 253 nt
Filed under: uncultured bacterium
Lineage: Bacteria
Description: partial 16S ribosomal RNA
Rfam family: Bacterial small subunit ribosomal RNA
Source: RNAcentral